AGUGAACGCUGGCGGUAGGCCUAACACAUGCAAGUCGAACGGCAGCACAGUAAGAGCUUGCUCUUACGGGUGGCGAGUGGCGGACGGGUGAGGAAUACAUCGGAAUCUACUUUUUCGUGGGGGAUAACGUAGGGAAACUUACGCUAAUACCGCAUACGACCUACGGGUGAAAGCAGGGGAUCUUCGGACCUUGCGCGAUUGAAUGAGCCGAUGUCGGAUUAGCUAGUUGGCGGGGUAAAGGCCCACCAAGGCGACGAUCCGUAGCUGGUCUGAGAGGAUGAUCAGCCACACUGGGACUGAGACACGGUCCAGAAUCCUACGGGAGGCAGCAGUGGGGAAUAUUGGGCAAUGGGCGCAAGCCUGAUCCAGCCAGACCGCGUGGGUGAAGAAGGCCUUCGGGUUGUAAAGCCCUUUUGUUGGGGAAGAAAAGCAGCAGGUUAAUACCCCGCUGUUCUGACGGUACCCAAAGAAUAAGCACCGGCUAACUUCGUGC
This 493-nucleotide ribosomal RNA is filed under the name uncultured bacterium. RNAcentral describes it as "partial 16S ribosomal RNA". It matches the Rfam family "Bacterial small subunit ribosomal RNA", at positions 29 to 508 of the family's 1533-position model. The record is from RNAcentral.